Myotis daubentonii (Daubenton's bat) is the source of this 620-nucleotide long non-coding RNA. RefSeq lists it as uncharacterized. The transcript is spliced from 3 exons. The record is from RefSeq and is a predicted model, not a curated record. Lineage: Eukaryota; Metazoa; Chordata; Mammalia; Chiroptera; Vespertilionidae.
GCAGGCGAGACAAAGGACAGUUCCCUGUGGACCCCGCCUGCGGCACACCCCUACCUGUCUGAGCAGAGGAGCGCCUGACAGGGCACAUUCCACUCUGCACAGGGACAGAGAAAGCCUAGAAGAAGAAAGUGGUAGCGUUGGGAUUCAAACCCGUGAAGUCUAAUUUCCAAAUGGAUGCUCUUCAGGCCAGGGAUGAAUGUCAGCCUGUGAAAAAGCAAGCACGGGUCCGCACAGGCGGAGAGCACAGGCUGUGGAAUACUAUGGAGGAGACCCCGUGGGAAACCUCAACUAUAAUUGGAGUUGGGAAGGCCUAUCGAGGGAGCUAUCACACCUUACCACUUGAGGUCAACUACCCCAAAAAGGAAGACCUCAACUGCAGACCUCAACAGGAAGAAAGUCAAUUACAGACCACAACACUUGACUACUUUAAUACUCCAGCAGAUUCUCCCCCUGCCCAGCAACAAGCCCAGCCAAUGGAAACGUCACAGCUUAGCCAAUGAGAAGCCACCAUCACCUGAAUUCUUACUUUCCUUUAACGAACUUUCACUUUUCUUUUGCUGACUUCUUUGUCCCGCCCUCCUUUCUAUAAAAGCCUUCUCUCUUGUAUAACCCCUCGUAGC